UUAAGUUAUUAAGGGCGCACGGUGGAUGCCUUGGCACUAGAAGCCGAUGAAGGACGUUACUAACGACGAUAUGCUUUGGGGAGCUGUAAGUAAGCUUUGAUCCAGAGAUUUCCGAAUGGGGAAACCCAGCAUGAGUUAUGUCAUGUUAUCGAUAUGUGAAUACAUAGCAUAUCAGAAGGCACACUCGGAGAACUGAAACAUCUUAGUACCCGGAGGAAGAGAAAGAAAAUUCGAUUCCCUUAGUAGCGGCGAGCGAAACGGGAAGAGCCCAAACCAACAAGCUUGCUUGUUGGGGUUGUAGGACACUCUAUACGGAGUUACAAAGGACGACAUUAGACGAAUCAUCUGGAAAGAUGAAUCAAAGAAGGUAAUAAUCCUGUAGUCGAAAAUGUUGUCUCUCUUGAGUGGAUCCUGAGUACGACGGAGCACGUGAAAUUCCGUCGGAAUCUGGGAGGACCAUCUCCUAAGGCUAAAUACUCUCUAGUGACCGAUAGUGAACCAGUACCGUGAGGGAAAGGUGAAAAGCACCCCGGAAGGGGAGUGAAAUAGAACCUGAAACCGUGUGCUUACAAGUAGUCAGAGCCCGUUAAUGGGUGAUGGCGUGCCUUUUGUAGAAUGAACCGGCGAGUUACGAUUUGAUGCAAGGUUAAGCAGUAAAUGUGGAGCCGUAGCGAAAGCGAGUCUGAAUAGGGCGUUUAGUAUUUGGUCGUAGACCCGAAACCAGGUGAUCUACCCUUGGUCAGGUUGAAGUUCAGGUAACACUGAAUGGAGGACCGAACCGACUUACGUUGAAAAGUGAGCGGAUGAACUGAGGGUAGCGGAGAAAUUCCAAUCGAACCUGGAGAUAGCUGGUUCUCUCCGAAAUAGCUUUAGGGCUAGCCUCAAGUGAUGAUUAUUGGAGGUAGAGCACUGUUUGGACGAGGGGCCCCUCUCGGGUUACCGAAUUCAGACAAACUCCGAAUGCCAAUUAAUUUAACUUGGGAGUCAGAACAUGGGUGAUAAGGUCCGUGUUCGAAAGGGAAACAGCCCAGACCACCAGCUAAGGUCCCAAAAUAUAUGUUAAGUGGAAAAGGAUGUGGCGUUGCCCAGACAACUAGGAUGUUGGCUUAGAAGCAGCCAUCAUUUAAAGAGUGCGUAAUAGCUCACUAGUCGAGUGACACUGCGCCGAAAAUGUACCGGGGCUAAACAUAUUACCGAAGCUGUGGAUUGUCCUUUGGACAAUGGUAGGAGAGCGUUCUAAGGGCGUUGAAGCAUGAUCGUAAGGACAUGUGGAGCGCUUAGAAGUGAGAAUGCCGGUGUGAGUAGCGAAAGACGGGUGAGAAUCCCGUCCACCGAUUGACUAAGGUUUCCAGAGGAAGGCUCGUCCGCUCUGGGUUAGUCGGGUCCUAAGCUGAGGCCGACAGGCGUAGGCGAUGGAUAACAGGUUGAUAUUCCUGUACCACCUAUAAUCGUUUUAAUCGAUGGGGGGACGCAGUAGGAUAGGCGAAGCGUGCGAUUGGAUUGCACGUCUAAGCAGUAAGGCUGAGUAUUAGGCAAAUCCGGUACUCGUUAAGGCUGAGCUGUGAUGGGGAGAAGACAUUGUGUCUUCGAGUCGUUGAUUUCACACUGCCGAGAAAAGCCUCUAGAUAGAAAAUAGGUGCCCGUACCGCAAACCGACACAGGUAGUCAAGAUGAGAAUUCUAAGGUGAGCGAGCGAACUCUCGUUAAGGAACUCGGCAAAAUGACCCCGUAACUUCGGGAGAAGGGGUGCUCUUUAGGGUUAACGCCCAGAAGAGCCGCAGUGAAUAGGCCCAAGCGACUGUUUAUCAAAAACACAGGUCUCUGCUAAACCGUAAGGUGAUGUAUAGGGGCUGACGCCUGCCCGGUGCUGGAAGGUUAAGAGGAGUGGUUAGCUUCUGCGAAGCUACGAAUCGAAGCCCCAGUAAACGGCGGCCGUAACUAUAACGGUCCUAAGGUAGCGAAAUUCCUUGUCGGGUAAGUUCCGACCCGCACGAAAGGCGUAACGAUUUGGGCACUGUCUCAACGAGAGACUCGGUGAAAUCAUAGUACCUGUGAAGAUGCAGGUUACCCGCGACAGGACGGAAAGACCCCGUGGAGCUUUACUGUAGCCUGAUAUUGAAAUUCGGCACAGCUUGUACAGGAUAGGUAGGAGCCUUUGAAACGUGAGCGCUAGCUUACGUGGAGGCGCUGGUGGGAUACUACCCUAGCUGUGUUGGCUUUCUAACCCGCACCACUUAUCGUGGUGGGAGACAGUGUCAGGCGGGCAGUUUGACUGGGGCGGUCGCCUCCUAAAAGGUAACGGAGGCGCUCAAAGGUUCCCUCAGAAUGGUUGGAAAUCAUUCAUAGAGUGUAAAGGCAUAAGGGAGCUUGACUGCGAGACCUACAAGUCGAGCAGGGUCGAAAGACGGACUUAGUGAUCCGGUGGUUCCGCAUGGAAGGGCCAUCGCUCAACGGAUAAAAGCUACCCCGGGGAUAACAGGCUUAUCUCCCCCAAGAGUUCACAUCGACGGGGAGGUUUGGCACCUCGAUGUCGGCUCAUCGCAUCCUGGGGCUGUAGUCGGUCCCAAGGGUUGGGCUGUUCGCCCAUUAAAGCGGUACGCGAGCUGGGUUCAGAACGUCGUGAGACAGUUCGGUCCCUAUCCGUCGUGGGCGUAGGAAAUUUGAGAGGAGCUGUCCUUAGUACGAGAGGACCGGGAUGGACAUACCUCUGGUGUACCAGUUGUCGUGCCAACGGCAUAGCUGGGUAGCUAUGUGUGGACGGGAUAAGUGCUGAAAGCAUCUAAGCAUGAAGCCCCCCUCAAGAUGAGAUUUCCCAACUUCGGUUAUAAGAUCCCUCAAAGAUGAUGAGGUUAAUAGGUUCGAGGUGGAAGCAUGGUGACAUGUGGAGCUGACGAAUACUAAUCGAUCGAAGACUUAAUCAA
RNAcentral lists this ribosomal RNA (2921 nucleotides) under Staphylococcus aureus M1508. RNAcentral's name for it is "bacterial LSU rRNA". It matches the Rfam family "Bacterial large subunit ribosomal RNA". Lineage: Bacteria; Bacillati; Bacillota; Bacilli; Caryophanales; Staphylococcaceae. The record is from RNAcentral.